This is a long non-coding RNA of Dermochelys coriacea (leatherback sea turtle), 682 nucleotides long. RefSeq lists it as uncharacterized. The transcript is spliced from 2 exons. The record is from RefSeq and is a predicted model, not a curated record. Lineage: Eukaryota; Metazoa; Chordata; Testudines; Dermochelyidae.
UCUCAUGGGGAGUAUUCUGUAUGACUUUGACUAUUGCAAACUUUUAUGAUGACUGUUUAGGCAAUCCACAGAUGGAGGUAGAGAAAGCUGAGGGAGAAAAAAGAUUCAGAGCCAGCAAAGCGUGUUUGCUUGAUGUAUUCCAAAAUCAUUGCUGGUGAAAUUGACCCCUCUAUGUCCUGUUUUCCAUAAUAAUGUACAAAACAAUGUAGUGAUUCACACAGUUGAUCCUUGUCCCUGUAAGUUAAAACAGUGUUUAAAAACAGCUAUUGUUAAUAGUGAUCCAAUAUAUAUAGGAUUUGGGGGUGGGGUGGGCUGGGCUGAAACAUUCUCAUAUGUUGUAAAACCACUUUGGGAGGAGCACACUUGUUGAGUAUCAUUCUUAAAAAUAAACAUAAAUCUCUGUCCAUAGUCUCUGGAAUCAAAAAUAGGAGCUUAGAAUUGUGAAGAUAUAAUGCAGGAGAGGAGAGAGGAGGUGGUACUGACAACUCAAGAUUACUGCAUACCUGCUGAACAACAGGAUCUGGAGGGUGGAUUGUCAGAAAAGGAGGGUGAUCCAUGGAAGAAUCUGACCAGAAGGACAAGCCAAAGCAAGAGAUCAGUUAGUGGUGGUGAAAUCAAGUUGAGUAAGACGUUUGCUGCCCUGGGGAACGAGGAGGAGAAAUAGGCAGAAGAUGGAGAGACA